AGGCUUUGUAGAAGGGCACGGAACAUGGCUGAGGAGGUGUCCAGCAAGGCUGUACCAUAAAGAUCACCCCCAACCCCCCUCCCAAAUAAAUAAAUAAAAACAAGUAAGAAUUAUUUUUCAUUACAGCUGCCAUAAUACACUGGUCCAUGUGAUGAAACCUGCAAUGGCAAGAUUCAACUGCUGUGGUUCAUUCUCUGCUGUUUUCCUUCCCUGCAAAUUUUCCUUCUGAAAGGCACAGAAACAAGAUGCGUAUUCUGCAAUAACGGACAAAGAGGAGCUAGAGAAGGAAAGGGACAGAACAGAAAGUUUGACUUCAGCACCCAAAUCCUCAUAAGAAAAGUUAUGCUCUAACUAAAAGGAUAAGGAAAUACA
Molecule: long non-coding RNA, 372 nt
Organism: Gallus gallus (chicken)
Lineage: Eukaryota; Metazoa; Chordata; Aves; Galliformes; Phasianidae
Exons: 2
Source: RefSeq, a predicted model, not a curated record